GAAAUUGCGAUAAGUAGUGUGAAUUGCAGAAUUCAGUGAAUCAUCGAAUCUUUGAACGCACAUUGCGCCCCUUGGUAUUCCAUGGGGCAUGCCUGUUCGAGCGUCAUUUGUACCCUCAAGCUCUGCUUGGUGUUGGGUGUUUGUCCCGUCUCCGCGCGUGGACUCGCCCCAAAGUGAUUGGCAGCCGGCGUACUGGUCCCGGAGCGCAGCACAUGUCGCGCAAACGAGUGCCUUGGUACGGCGGCGUCCAUAAGCCCCUCUCUCACGCUCUUGACCUCGGAUCAGGUAGGGAUACCCGCUGAACUUAAGC
Molecule: unclassified non-coding RNA, 310 nt
Filed under: plant metagenome
Description: partial contains 5.8S ribosomal RNA, internal transcribed spacer 2, and large subunit ribosomal RNA
Rfam family: 5.8S ribosomal RNA (bases 1-106)
Source: RNAcentral